RNAcentral lists this transfer RNA (72 nucleotides) under Bos indicus (zebu cattle). It matches the Rfam family "tRNA". From Rfam's summary of the family: Transfer RNA (tRNA) molecules are approximately 80 nucleotides in length. Their secondary structure includes four short double-helical elements and three loops (D, anti-codon, and T loops). The record is from Rfam by way of RNAcentral. Lineage: Eukaryota; Metazoa; Chordata; Mammalia; Artiodactyla; Bovidae. RNAcentral also lists the same sequence under 1 other name.
UCCCUAGUAGCUCAGUUAGUAAAGCAUCUGCCUGCAAUGCAAGAGACCCAGGUUCAAUCCCUGGGUCGGGAA